CCAGCUCCUCCGGUGUCGUGUUUUCACUGGUCUGUAUUGCCAUGUGAGCUGGACUCAACAACGCGAUUUCCACGUUUUUGUUCAGGCCGCUCAUUAGUAUUAUAAUUUUGCCACGGAACAACAAGGAAGGCAGUGCACAAAAAGGAUGCAUAUAACAAUUUUGAGGAGAAGGCAGAGUCCUGUCAUAGAAAAAUGCAUCAAGUGUUGCAGUAGUAAAUAUCACUGCCCAUUUUGCAAACCUCAAGUUUACCGUCCCGCCAUGGAACUACACCAGGUGCAAUACCAUGUCCAUAAUCAUUUAAGUCUGGCAGUAAAGCAUCAAGAGUUCUACAUAGUCAAAUGCAAUUUGUACUGCAGAGACCAGGCACAUUUUCACUGCUGCUAUUGCCCAACGACCAUUAUAAGGAGGGUUCAAAUAGUAAAACAUUUGACAGCAUGUAGAAAACGAUGCUUGAUUACAAAACCAUCCAUCAAAAUAGAACCAGAUGCCAUCACUGAUCCCACCAUUAAAAGAGAACCAGACACAAUCCAGAUCUGUCCAGAGAGCCACUUUCCAGAACCAGCUGUCAAGACAGAACCAGACAAGUCUCAGGUCUUUCCAGAGAGCCACUUUCCAAAACCAGCUGUCAAGACAGAACCAGAUGCAGCCACAAACCAGCCACCAGCCUUUCUAUCAGCACGUGUAUAUAUUGUACUGGUUUUUAAUGUAUCCUGGUUAAUCUGACUAUCCAAUGCGUUAAGUCUACCUUCUUUCUGGGCGAGCUGACAAAUCAGAGCACACUCGGCUCAUUGAGAGGCGGGGCUUAAAGACACAGGCAAUCUAACAGAGUGUGAAUAGAGAUGUAUGGUAUGAGAAAAAUGUGUUUUUGGAACACUGAAGCACGUAAAUCUAUUCUAGUAGACCCCAAAAAUACAAUUAUCAACAAUGAAAAUGAGCAUAAUAGGUCCCCUUUAAGCCUUUUCCUCAUGUAAAUCAUUUCAGAAUGUCCCACAGUUUUCAGAGUGGUUACCAAGCCAGUCCUGGGACCCCAUGAUCUGCACUGUUUUCUCUUUUUCUACUCUAAUACGCCUGGCCCAGCUUGUUAAUCAGUUGAAUAAGGGAUAAUAGAUGAGGGAAUGCAUAAAACUGUGUACGUUGUUGGGCCCCAAAUUGGAGCUAGCUAUAACAAUAAUGUGUACUGCAUAUUUUCUUAUUGUCCACAGAUGCAUAUAACAAUUUUGAGGAGAGGGCAGAGUCCUGUCAUAGAAAAAUGCAUCAAGUGUUGCAGUAAUAAAUAUCACUGCCCAUUUUGCAAACCUCAAG
Colossoma macropomum (tambaqui) is the source of this 1303-nucleotide long non-coding RNA. RefSeq lists it as uncharacterized. The record is from RefSeq and is a predicted model, not a curated record. The transcript has 3 exons. Lineage: Eukaryota; Metazoa; Chordata; Actinopteri; Characiformes; Serrasalmidae.